Long non-coding RNA from Felis catus (domestic cat), 1159 nucleotides. RefSeq lists it as uncharacterized. NCBI's taxonomy places the organism in Eukaryota, Metazoa, Chordata, Mammalia, Carnivora, Felidae. The record is from RefSeq and is a predicted model, not a curated record. The transcript is spliced from 3 exons.
UCUCUGGGCCUGAGACUUUGGGGGACAGUGGCUGCCAGACGCCGGGUAUAUGAGGCAGGGUGAUAUUCUGGGCCUGAUCGUGUGACCCCAGGUAUUUGGUGGACAAGGGUGUGGGUGACUACAUGUGUAAAGGAUUCUGGUGUGUGUGUGUGUGUGUGUGUGUGUGUGUGUGUGUGUGUGUGUGUGUAACUAGGUAACACUGUGUCAGUGUGAGUGCAAGUGUGUCAUUGGGCUUUGUGUUCCCAUCAGACAAUGCUGUUGGGUUCUCGAGUAUGCUCUCUGCCUUUCUGGUCUCAUUUCCCCAACACAGGGGUGGACCCAGAGGUGGCUUCCAGGAGAGUUACAGACCAUCAGAGCUGGAAGGAGGCCAAGACAAAACAGUCCAAACUCCUCACUUCACGUAUUUGGAAAUUGAGGCUCAGCUGUAUGUAGAAAGGGGUGUGUGAACAAUAAAAACACAGUCAAAUUCAUGCAGAGGUAGAUCUCAGAGUAGGAGAGACCUGUAAGUAAUCCAUGAUUGCUUCUCCCCCCCUCUGGGAAUCCCCUCAAUAAUGUGCCUGGUAAGGUCAUUCCUUCUCUCCUACUCACUGGACAGAGUAGGGAUUUAAAUUUCAUCCACUCUGAGUUGCCUCAUCAUCCCAGUCUGUUAACAGUUUCUGUUUCAUCCCUGCUGAGAAUUCACAGGCACGUAGGAGGGUGUGACUAUGGAUAAAAAAGCAAAAUCACAAGCAAGUUUUGGAGACUCAGUCCAUCAUCUGCAAAAUCCCCUACAUUCUUAGACUUCUCGGCUCCUUCCCUUUCUCUUCUCUCAGGAAAUGAGACAUCACUCAAGAAUACACCUAUCACAACCUGACUUCCAUCACAUACUUACAUUUACCAAGGGUGUGCGUCCCAUGAAGGAAAGGAAUCUGCUCACUGUUUUAUCUCCAGCACUUAGAGCAGUGUCUGACUUCUGAUAGUUCCAGUUUGCCUCCCAGCAAGGUUGUCAUCAGGCUUCAAGGCCACCAGUGCAUGCGAAUGCCUGUUUACUCACGUCCUUGCCUAAAUUGGGUCUUAUCAGACUUUUAAUUUUUGCUAAUCUGUGAAAAUGAUAUCUUGUUCUGAUUUAUACUUUUAAAAUUCUGAGUGAGAUGGAAUAUUAAAAAAUAUUUUUGACAGA